RNAcentral lists this ribosomal RNA (1380 nucleotides) under uncultured bacterium. Its description in RNAcentral is "16S ribosomal RNA". It matches the Rfam family "Bacterial small subunit ribosomal RNA". The record is from RNAcentral.
UUCGCCCUUAGAGUUUGAUCCUGGCUCAGGACGAACGCUGGCGGCGCGCCUAACACAUGCAAGUCGAACGAGAGAGAGGGAGCUUGCUUCCUUGAUCGAGUGGCGAACGGGUGAGUAACGCGUGAGGAACCUGCCUCAAAGAGGGGGACAACAGUUGGAAACGACUGCUAAUACCGCAUAAGCCCACGACCCGGCAUCGGGAAGAGGGAAAAGGAGCAAUCCGCUUUGAGAUGGCCUCGCGUCCGAUUAGCUAGUUGGUGAGGUAACGGCCCACCAAGGCGACGAUCGGUAGCCGGACUGAGAGGUUGAACGGCCACAUUGGGACUGAGACACGGCCCAGACUCCUACGGGAGGCAGCAGUGGGGAAUAUUGCACAAUGGGGGAAACCCUGAUGCAGCAACGCCGCGUGAAGGAAGACGGUUUUCGGAUUGUAAACUUCUGUUCUUAGUGAAGAAUAAUGACGGUAGCUAAGGAGCAAGCCACGGCUAACUACGUGCCAGCAGCCGCGGUAAUACGUAGGUGGCAAGCGUUGUCCGGAAUUACUGGGUGUAAAGGGAGCGUAGGCGGGAUGCCAAGUCAGCUGUGAAAACUAUGGGCUUAACCUGUAGACUGCAGUUGAAACUGGUAUUCUUGAGUGAAGUAGAGGUUGGCGGAAUUCCGAGUGUAGCGGUGAAAUGCGUAGAUAUUCGGAGGAACACCGGUGGCGAAGGCGGCCAACUGGGCUUUAACUGACGCUGAGGCUCGAAAGUGUGGGGAGCAAACAGGAUUAGAUACCCUGGUAGUCCACACUGUAAACGAUGAUAACUAGGUGUGGGGGGUCUGACCCCUUCCGUGCCGCAGCUAACGCAAUAAGUUAUCCACCUGGGGAGUACGACCGCAAGGUUGAAACUCAAAGGAAUUGACGGGGGCCCGCACAAGCAGUGGAGUAUGUGGUUUAAUUCGACGCAACGCGAAGAACCUUACCAAGUCUUGACAUCCUGCGACGCACAUAGAAAUAUGUGUUUCCUUCGGGACGCAGAGACAGGUGGUGCAUGGUUGUCGUCAGCUCGUGUCGUGAGAUGUUGGGUUAAGUCCCGCAACGAGCGCAACCCUUAUGGUCAGUUACUACGCAAGAGGACUCUGGCCAGACUGCCGUUGACAAAACGGAGGAAGGUGGGGAUGACGUCAAAUCAUCAUGCCCUUUAUGACUUGGGCUACACACGUACUACAAUGGCGUUAAACAAAGAGAAGCAAGACCGCGAGGUGGAGCAAAACUCAGAAACAACGUCCCAGUUCGGACUGCAGGCUGCAACUCGCCUGCACGAAGUCGGAAUUGCUAGUAAUCGCAGAUCAGCAUGCUGCGGUGAAUACGUUCCCGGGCCUUGCACACACCGCCCGUCA